CCUACGGGGUGCAGCAGUGGGGGAUAUUGCACAAUGGGGGGAACCCUGAUGCAGCGACGCCGCGUGGGUGAAGAAGCGCCUCGGCGCGUAAAGCCCUGUCAGCAGGGACGAAAAUGACGGUACCUGAAGAAGAAGCGCCGGCUAACUACGUGCCAGCAGCCGCGGUAAUACGUAGGGGGCAAGCGUUAUCCGGAUGUACUGGGUGGAAAGGGGGCGCAGGCGGCGAUGCAAGCCAGGAGUGAAAGCCCGGGGCCCAACCCAGGGACUGCUCUUGGAACUGCGUGGCUGGAGUGCAGGAGGGGCAGGCGGAAUUCCUGGUGUAGCGGUGAAAUGCGUAGAUAUCAGGAGGAACACCGGUGGCGAAGGCGGCCUGCUGGACUGCAACUGACGUUGAGGCCCGAAAGCAUGGGGAGCAAACAGGAUUAGAUACCCCUGUAGUC
RNAcentral lists this ribosomal RNA (440 nucleotides) under uncultured bacterium. Its description in RNAcentral is "partial 16S ribosomal RNA". It matches the Rfam family "Bacterial small subunit ribosomal RNA", at positions 338 to 795 of the family's 1533-position model. The record is from RNAcentral.